This 301-nucleotide ribosomal RNA is filed under the name uncultured bacterium. Its description in RNAcentral is "partial 16S ribosomal RNA". It matches the Rfam family "Bacterial small subunit ribosomal RNA", at positions 509 to 807 of the family's 1533-position model. The record is from RNAcentral.
CAGCCGCCGCGGGAAUACGAAGGGUGCAAGCGUUACUCGGAAUUACUGGGCGUAAAGCGUGCGUAGGCGGAUAUUUAAGUCAGGGGUGAAAUCCCGAGGCUCAACCUCGGAACUGCCUUUGAUACUGGAUAUCUUGAGUCCGAGAGAGGUGAGUGGAACUCCUAGUGUAGAGGUGAAAUUCGUAGAUAUUAGGAAGAACACCAGUGGCGAAGGCGGCUCACUGGCUCAUUCUAGACGCUGAGGUGCGAAAGCGUGGGGAGCAAACAGGAUUAGAUACCCCUGUAGUCCCUGUCUCUUAUAC